Molecule: ribosomal RNA, 484 nt
Filed under: uncultured bacterium
Lineage: Bacteria
Description: partial 16S ribosomal RNA
Rfam family: Bacterial small subunit ribosomal RNA
Source: RNAcentral
AUUGAACGCUGGCGGCAGGCCUAACACAUGCAAGUCGAGCGGAUGAAGGGAGCUUGCUCCUGGAUUCAGCGGCGGACGGGUGAGUAAUGCCUAGGAAUCUGCCUGUUAGUGGGGGAUAACGUCCGGAAACGGGCGCUAAUACCGCAUACGUCCUGAGGGAGAAAGAGGGUGAGCUUCGGACCUCACGCUAUCAGAUGAGCCUAGGUCGGAUUAGCUAGUUGGUGGGGUAAAGGCCUACCAAGGCGACGAUCCGUAACUGGUCUGAGAGGAUGAUCAGUCACACUGGAACUGAGACACGGUCCAGACUCCUACGGGAGGCAGCAGUGGGGAAUAUUGGACAAUGGGCGAAAGCCUGAUCCAGCCAUGCCGCGUGUGUGAAGAAGGUCUUCGGAUUGUAAAGCACUUUAAGUUGGGAGGAAGGGCAGUAAGUUAAUACCUUGCUGUUUUGACGUUACCAACAGAAUAAGCAACGGCUAACUUCGUG